UGGAACGCGUGAGAAUCUGCCCUACAGUGAAGAAUACCACCGGGAAACUGGUGUUAAUGCUGCAUACGUCCCUCCGGGGAGAAAAGUAGUUUUAUGCUGCUGCUGUUGGAUGAGCUUGCGUACUAUUAGCUUGUUGGUGGGGUAAAAGCCUACCAAGGCGAUGAUGGUUAGCCGGCCUGAGAGGGUGAACGGCCACAUUGGGACUGAGAUACGGCCCAGACUCCUACGGGAGGCAGCAGUGAGGAAUAUUGCGCAAUGGACGAAAGUCUGACGCAGCAACGCCGCGUGAGGGAUGAAGGUCUUCGGAUCGUAAACCUCUGUUAAGUGGGAAGAAAUACCGAUUUUAUCGGGGAUGACGGUACCACUAGAGAAAGCACCGGCUAACUUCGUGCCAGCAGCCGCGGUAAUACGAGGGGUGCAAACGUUAUUCGGAAUCACUGGGCGUAAAGCGUGCGUAGACGGUCAAUUAAGCUCGUUGUUAAAUUUCCCGGCCCAACCGGGAACUUGCGAUGGGAACUGGUUGGCUUGAGGUUGGAAGAGAGGAAUGGAAUUCCCGGAGUAGCGGUAAAAUGCGUAGAUCUCGGGAGGAACACCGAUGGCGAAGGCAGUUCCUUGGUCCAUACCUGACGUUGAGGCACGA
Molecule: ribosomal RNA, 640 nt
Filed under: uncultured bacterium
Lineage: Bacteria
Description: bacterial SSU rRNA
Rfam family: Bacterial small subunit ribosomal RNA
Source: RNAcentral